CUGUGCCAUUCUUCUUCGCACGAUUGCACAACCCCAUUCCUCUUCCAUAUCUGCAUCUCAGCACGACUUCAUCGGCGUUGAGGUCUUCAGCAACCGACGACCAGUUUCUGAUCAUCUGGAACCGGUUCCCCGGUGCAACAUGGGUGGCGUUCCUCCGGUGUCACUAAGCUCCCUCCGAUGACAAUCCAUCAUCCACAGUUUCAUUCAGGCGAAGAGGGCUCUUUUGAUGAGGCAUGAGGCUGAAACUAAGUCAAGUGCUUACUGGCUGGGAUUAAUGACCCACCUUCAAACUCCAUCUAUUCCAAGACAUUGGAGAUGAAGAGUCAGAUGCUGGCCAUCAUGGAAUGGUUGCUACUGGGCGGGCGCGGUUUGUCAACAAUGACUGGACCAACAACCUAUCCUUCAUUGGAUUUUCUUGACCUGAAAUCUUAAUUAGAUAAGCUGCUGAGUACGGUGGCUGUUGCUAGUUUUAUUUUGGACGAACUAUUAUGAUUUAUCAGAGAAGAAAACUUAUCCGGUCUAGGAGAAAGUAUUCCAGUGAACAUGGAGGCAUGCAAUUAUUAGGAAGAGGUGAAAAAAACAAAGUCUUGUAUAGGAACAUAGUCAAGCUCUUGGGCUGUUGUUUGAAAAAGUGGAGGCUCCCAUGUUAGUCUAUGAGUUUGUCCCUAAUGGCAACUUGUUUGAUCUAAUCCACAGCAGGAACCUAGAUAACCUCCCUCUGGCAGUGCGUUUAAACAUUGCUCCUGAUUCUGCUGAUGCUCUUGCUUAUCUACGCACUUAAGCUUCGCCUCCAAUCAUUCAUGGAGACGUGAAGUCU
Molecule: long non-coding RNA, 817 nt
Organism: Zingiber officinale
Lineage: Eukaryota; Viridiplantae; Streptophyta; Magnoliopsida; Zingiberales; Zingiberaceae
Exons: 4
Source: RefSeq, a predicted model, not a curated record